GGAGCCGCGAUGCAGAGAGCAAAGCGCUGAGCUCCAGGGGGGCAGAGCUGGGGGCAGCCGGUGGUGGGGACACUGGGGGCGGCGGUGGCACCUGACCCCCCCCCAAGGUGAGGAGGGCCGCUGGCCCGGCUGCCCCGGCACCACGCAUCGGAAACCGAGUCUGGGAGGAACACGCAGGCGCUGGGUUGGUCCCUUAUAUAUGUAUAUGGGCAGUUGCAGCUUGAAGGAAUCAGCAGUUUCAGAUACCUUGAAUUCACACCGGCAGAGCUGGCCAUGGAGGAGCCUGUAUCUUGUAGCUCAAAUACAAAAGUGGCUUCUCGAUCUGUCAACAAGUUUUGGCCCGAGCAAACAGACACUGCGGAUGACCUGCUGUGCCAAGGAUGCCCUGCCACGUCAGCCCCUCUCGGCAGCAGGGACUGGGCCAGUGGCCGCACCGACGCUGCAGGAGAUGGGGCAGCCGCGGGCCCACCUGCUCGCCCAGGCAUCGCGGGGACGGGAGGGCAGCGCCGGGGAGGUGGAGCACGGUUCAGGGACCAGGGGAGACGCCUGGGAGCUUCCCGACUGCUGAUGAGGAUGAGGAGAAGCUGCUGAGACAAAUCCCACAGAGCAAAUACAGGUAUUGCUGGCUGCUAAAAGGAAACCAACAUCUUCAAAUACAUCUGUGACUAAAGAUGUCUUGGAAUAAGUUGGUUGCAACCAUCAUCUUCACCUUUCCCACCAAAUGCAUUUCUGGACCAAGAGAACAAGCACUGUAAGCUGAAGCUAAACGCAGGUGGGGAGCUAGAUUGGUUACCAUCGUCAUUUAGCAGGAGCUGCCUGUGGAAGUCUUUACAAUGAGAUAUACAGACUCCAUCCACCACAGGUGCCUUGCAGGCUCUUUCUUCUAUGAACUAGAACAGUUUUUCCUUUCUCCCUGCUUCAGAGAGUCUUUGCAGAACCAGGGGCUUCAGGUACCAUCUGCAGAGCUGCCCACGCACCAUCAGGAUUUAUUUUCAUCAACCUCUGAAGAGAUGAAGAGCCAACCACGAUGCCUUGCUCUCCACCACCGUUUGUUCUAGUGACUACACUCAGCACACUACCUAGUCAGCUAGAAAACAUCCCCCCUCCCCCACAAAAGAGCUUCACUUUCUUUUGCACACCCAACCAAGGGCAAGGGGGGGAAAUCAUAUGAUUGUAAAAUGAUGGAAUUAAUCUGCAACUUGACCUUCACUAAUGAUGGAUGGCCUGUUUGUAAAGAUCAUCGGUUGAAAGCCUUCACUCAGAUGCAUCACCUGCAGCUGCAAUGAAUCGAGGGGACAACCUGAUGUCCUUCCUCAGCUCUCUGGGGGUUGUGCAAUACAUGCAGGGAAUAGUCCAGUUUCUGGUGACCAAGAUACUUAACCUGUAUGAAGUGAAUCCAAAUUUAAUUUGAGAUCUGGGCUGUACAUGAGUCAAGUGCAGUGGUUAGGCUGGGCUCAGGUUCUUAUGUCCAAGUGUCCCAAUAUGAGCUGUGUGUCUCAUUAUGGCUUACUUCAAAACAGGCCUUGCACAAGAGCUGAGCGUAGCUGCAGAUAAUUUAACUCUAAAUUUUGGCUGCUUGCCUGGCUCUGCGUCACUUGCUGCUGAAGGAAUUGUUGUAAUCUGCAAAUUAUUUUCUUGUAUUAAUUCAUUCUGGUGAAAUAAAACUUUUGCAAACUGC
Molecule: non-coding RNA, 1678 nt
Organism: Phalacrocorax carbo (great cormorant)
Lineage: Eukaryota; Metazoa; Chordata; Aves; Suliformes; Phalacrocoracidae
Source: RefSeq, a predicted model, not a curated record